AGCAGCCGCGGUAAUUCCAGCUCCAAUAGCGUAUAUUAAAGUUGUUGCAGUUAAAAAGCUCGUAGUUGAAUUUUGGGUUUGGCCGAUUGGUCCGUUCUUGUAACGAGUACUGGUCGGUUGGGCCUCACCGCCUGGUGAUGCGUAAUGCCCUUUAUUGGGUGUUGCGAGUAGUCAGGACCUUUACCUUGAAAAAAUUAGAGUAGUUUAAAGCAGGCUUAUGCCGGAAUACAUUAGCAUGGAAUAAUAGAAUAGGACGAUGAUUCUAUUUUGUUGGUUUCUAGGAGCAUCGUAAUGAUUAAUAGGGAUAGUUGGGGGCAUUAGUAUUCAAUUGUCAGAGGUGAAAUUCUUGGAUUUAUUGAAGACUAACUACUGCGAAAGCAUUUGCCAAGGAUGUUUUCAUUAAUCAAGAACGAAAGUUAGGGGAUCGAAGACGAUCAGAUACCGUCGUAGUCUUAACCAUAAACUAUGCCGACUAGGGAUCGGGCGAUGUUGUUUCAAUGACUCGCUCGACACCUUAUGG
This 520-nucleotide ribosomal RNA is filed under the name uncultured Archaeospora. RNAcentral's name for it is "SSU rRNA". It matches the Rfam family "Eukaryotic small subunit ribosomal RNA", at positions 569 to 1093 of the family's 1831-position model. Lineage: Eukaryota; Fungi; Glomeromycota; Glomeromycetes; Archaeosporales; Archaeosporaceae. The record is from RNAcentral.